This 528-nucleotide ribosomal RNA is filed under the name uncultured bacterium. RNAcentral describes it as "bacterial SSU rRNA". It matches the Rfam family "Bacterial small subunit ribosomal RNA", at positions 8 to 526 of the family's 1533-position model. The record is from RNAcentral.
AGAGUUUGAUCCUGGCUCAGGAUGAACGCUAGCGGCAGGCCUAAUACAUGCAAGUCGAACGGUAAGUAGAGUAGCAAUACUUUGCCUAGAGCGACGUACGGGUGCGUAACACGUAUGCAACCUACCCUUUACAGGCGGAUAGCUCGGGGAAACCCGAAUUAACCCGCCGUAGUAUAAUUGAAUGGCAUCAUUUGAUUAUUAAAACUCAGGUGGUAAAGGAUGGGCAUGCGUCUGAUUAGUUAGUUGGUAGUGUAACGGACUACCAAGACGAUGAUCAGUAGGGGAACUGAGAGGUUGAUCCCCCACACUGGCACUGAGAUACGGGCCAGACUCCUACGGGAGGCAGCAGUAGGGAAUAUUGGUCAAUGGAUGCAAGUCUGAACCAGCCAUGCCGCGUGCAGGAAGAAGGCCUUCUGGGUUGUAAACUCCUGUCAUUUGAGAACAAGGCUGCGCAAGUAACUACUGCGUAGUUGAUAGUAUCAGAAGAGGAAGAGACGGCUAACUCUGUGCCAGCAGCGGCGGUAAUAC